RNAcentral lists this ribosomal RNA (254 nucleotides) under uncultured bacterium. RNAcentral describes it as "partial 16S ribosomal RNA". It matches the Rfam family "Bacterial small subunit ribosomal RNA", at positions 524 to 776 of the family's 1533-position model. The record is from RNAcentral.
UACGGAGGAUCCAAGCGUUAUCCGGAUUUAUUGGGUUUAAAGGGUGCGUAGGUGGCCUGUUAAGUCAGGGGUGAAAGACGGUAGCUUAACUAUCGCAGUGCCCUUGAUACUGAUGGGCUUGAAUGAACUAGAGGUAGGCGGAAUGUGACAAGUAGCGGUGAAAUGCAUAGAUAUGUCACAGAACACCAAUUGCGAAGGCAGCUUACUAUGGUUUUAUUGACACUGAGGCACGAAAGCGUGGGGAGUCAAACAGG